This 460-nucleotide ribosomal RNA is filed under the name Arctornis gracilis. RNAcentral's name for it is "partial large subunit ribosomal RNA". The record is from RNAcentral. Lineage: Eukaryota; Metazoa; Arthropoda; Insecta; Lepidoptera; Erebidae.
UGCCCACUGAUAAAUUAUUGAAGGGCUGCAGUAUUUUGACUGUACAAAGGUAGCAUAAUCAUUAGUCAUUUAAUUGAUGACUUGUAUGAAAGAUUGGAUGAAAUAUAAACUGUCUUUAAAAUAAAUUAUAGAAAUUAAUUUUUUAGUUAAAAAGCUAAAAUAUUAUAAAAAGACGAGAAGACCCUAUAGAGUUUUAUUUUCAAAUUGAAUUAAGAUUUUUUAUAAAUUUAAUAAUUUAAAUUUAUUUGAAUAUUUUAUUGGGGUGAUAAAAAAAUUAAAUAAACUUUUUCUUUUUUUAGACGUGAAUAAGCGGUUAAUUGAUCCAAUUUUAUUGAUUAUAAGAUUAAAUUACCUUAGGGAUAACAGCGUAAUUUUUUUUUUUAGUUCAAAUAAGAAAAAGAGUUUGCGACCUCGAUGUUGGAUUAAGAUAAAAUUUAAAUGCAGAAGUUUAAAAUUUUGA